UACGUAGGGUGCAAGCGUUGUCCGGAUUUAUUGGGCGUAAAGAGCUCGUAGGCGGUUUGGCAAGUCGGGUGUGAAACCUCCAGGCUCAACCUGGAGUCGCCAUCCGAUACUGCUAUGACUUGAGUCUGGUAGGGGAUCACGGAAUUCCUGGUGUAGCGGUGAAAUGCGUAGAUAUCUGGAGGAACACCGGUGGCGAAGGCGGCAUCCUGGACCGGCAUUGACGCUGAUGAGCGAAAGCCAGGGGAGCAAACGGG
RNAcentral lists this ribosomal RNA (254 nucleotides) under uncultured bacterium. RNAcentral's name for it is "partial 16S ribosomal RNA". It matches the Rfam family "Bacterial small subunit ribosomal RNA", at positions 524 to 776 of the family's 1533-position model. The record is from RNAcentral.